Molecule: ribosomal RNA, 467 nt
Filed under: uncultured bacterium
Lineage: Bacteria
Description: partial 16S ribosomal RNA
Rfam family: Bacterial small subunit ribosomal RNA
Source: RNAcentral
GAUGAACGCUGACAGAAUGCUUAACACAUGCAAGUCAACUUGAAUUUGGGUUUUUAACUUCGGUUUGGGUGGCGGACGGGUGAGUAACGCGUAAAGAACUUGCCUCGCAGCUAGGGACAACAUUUGGAAACGAAUGCUAAUACCUAAUAUUAUGAUAAUAGGGCAUCCUAUAAUUAUGAAAGCUAUAAGCGCUGUGAGAGAGCUUUGCGUCCCAUUAGCUAGUUGGAGAGGUAACGGCUCACCAAGGCGAUGAUGGGUAGCCGGCCUGAGAGGGUGAUCGGCCACAAGGGGACUGAGACACGGCCCUUACUCCUACGGGAGGCAGCAGUGGGGAAUAUUGGACAAUGGACCAAGAGUCUGAUCCAGCAAUUCUGUGUGCACGAUGAAGUUUUUCGGAAUGUAAAGUGCUUUCAGUUGGGAAGAAAGAAAUGACGGUACCAACAGAAGAAGUGACGGCUAAAUACGUG